This 69-nucleotide transfer RNA is filed under the name Paralaudakia caucasia (Caucasian Agama). Its description in RNAcentral is "tRNA-Ala". The record is from RNAcentral. Lineage: Eukaryota; Metazoa; Chordata; Lepidosauria; Squamata; Agamidae.
CAAGACCCAUAAGACCAUUCUUACAUCAUCUGAAUGCAACACAGACAUUUUUAUUAAACUAGGGCCUCC